RNAcentral lists this ribosomal RNA (254 nucleotides) under uncultured bacterium. RNAcentral describes it as "partial 16S ribosomal RNA". It matches the Rfam family "Bacterial small subunit ribosomal RNA", at positions 524 to 776 of the family's 1533-position model. The record is from RNAcentral.
UACGGAGGGGGCAAGCGUUGUUCGGAAUUACUGGGCGUAAAGGGCGCGCAGGCGGCUGCUCAAGUCAGGCGUGAAAGGCCUGGGCUCAACCCGGGAAUUGCGCUUGAGACUGGGCUGGCUUGAGUGCGGGAGAGGAUGGUGGAAUUCCCAGUGUAGAGGUGAAAUUCGUAGAUAUUGGGAAGAACACCGAUGGCGAAGGCAGCCUCCUGGGCUAGUACUGACGCUCAUGCACGAAAGCGUGGGGAGCAAACAGG